Molecule: non-coding RNA, 56 nt
Organism: Danio rerio (zebrafish)
Lineage: Eukaryota; Metazoa; Chordata; Actinopteri; Cypriniformes; Danionidae
Source: Rfam
AUAAAAAGUCUUUGGAUAAGUCGCUUUGGAUAAAAGCGUCUGCUAAAUGACUAAAU